Long non-coding RNA from Ipomoea triloba (trilobed morning glory), 767 nucleotides. RefSeq lists it as uncharacterized. The record is from RefSeq and is a predicted model, not a curated record. Lineage: Eukaryota; Viridiplantae; Streptophyta; Magnoliopsida; Solanales; Convolvulaceae. The transcript is spliced from 4 exons.
CUUAACCUAAAUCCCUAGAGCAAUCAGCGAGCCGCCCAUCCUAUUUGGCCAUUCUCCAUUCUCUCCGGCACAGGAGUUGCGAGGCGGCGCGAUGAGGCGGCGACCUGCAGGUUUCAACGAUUGCGAGUUGCGAGGCGGUGAGAUCGUUUAUACUGCCUGAAGGGAUCUGUAGUUGCUGUGACUUCGGUGAGGCGAUCUGCGAAACGGCGAGGCGGUAGACUCCGGUGAGGCUCUUUUGCGAUAUGCUUUGCUCAGAUCCUAAAUUGGAUUCACAUUGUAUUAAAGAUAUUAUUGAUGAGGCAAUAGCAGCUGGUGAUCUGAAACUAACAAAAGCUUAUGAGAAAUGGGCAAACUAAGUAUACUGGACUUAAGAUUCUCCUUAUACCUAUUCAAGAAUUAGAAGAAUCAGAAAUCAAAGAACUUGUGCAGCAAUGAGAAAUGGGCAAACCAAGUCAUCACAUGAAAGGCGUGAAGACUGCUUCUGUUAGUCUAGCUCACACGUUUUACCAAUCAAAGACCAAAGAUCAGAGUUGAUAAAGAAAAUAAAAAGACGAAUUGCUACUGGUCUGAAUACGAAGUUAUAGAAGAUGCAACCUAUAGAGUUCUAAUUCGUAUUUUAUAUUUAAAUUUGUAUUUAAUGUAUUUCAUAUUCAUAUCUUCUCUAUUUGAUAUGUUUGAUGUUUCAAAAAAAAAAUCUGAAUAAUUUGGAAUGCUGAUGCUUUGGAUUUUAAACGUCCAUGAAUAAAAUAAUUAAGCUUUGGGAAUCA